AUACCUCAAAGAUUUUUUUCUGUCACUAACAAUUCUGCCAGCUUGUCUUGGGCUUCAGCUUAAUAUCUGAUACAGUUCCUAUUUGGGGCCAUCGAUAUUAAACUGAUUUUUAGAAUGAGGCGAAGAGUUAGCGGCUUACUCUGCCUUUACCACGGGUUGGCCUAGUAUAGCAGUACUUCCAGGAUUCAGCCCACAAAAA
Small nuclear RNA from Octopus sinensis (East Asian common octopus), 199 nucleotides. RefSeq annotates it as U2 spliceosomal RNA. The transcript has a single exon. NCBI's taxonomy places the organism in Eukaryota, Metazoa, Mollusca, Cephalopoda, Octopoda, Octopodidae. The record is from RefSeq and is a predicted model, not a curated record.